This is a long non-coding RNA of Ipomoea triloba (trilobed morning glory), 100 nucleotides long. RefSeq lists it as uncharacterized. The transcript has 2 exons. The record is from RefSeq and is a predicted model, not a curated record. Lineage: Eukaryota; Viridiplantae; Streptophyta; Magnoliopsida; Solanales; Convolvulaceae.
GAAAACUCAGCGUACCAUUGAAGUCAAAACUUUUGUGAAUAUGGCAUUUCGAUCUAUUCCUACUAAUGGGCGAGCAACUAGAAAUAUUAAUUGGACGGAA